AGGGGGGCAACUCCCUGAGUACGGCGGCGCACGGGUGAGUAACACGUAGGUAAUCUCCCCUCGAGCCCGGAAUAACCUACCGAAAGGUGGGCUAAUACCGGAUAUGACCACGGAAGUUUCGGCUUCUGCGGUGAAAGAUGGCCUCUAUUUAUAAGCUAUCACUCAAGGAUGAGCCUGCGUGCCAUUAGCUAGUUGGUGGGGUAAUGGCCCACCAAGGCUAUGAUGGCUAGCUGGUCUGAGAGGAUGGCCAGCCACACUGGGACUGAAACACGGCCCAGACUCCUACGGGAGGCAGCAGUGGGGGAUAUUGCGCAAUGGGCGAAAGCCUGACGCAGCGACGCCGCGUGGGUGAUGAAGGCCUUCGGG
RNAcentral lists this ribosomal RNA (366 nucleotides) under uncultured bacterium. RNAcentral describes it as "bacterial SSU rRNA". It matches the Rfam family "Bacterial small subunit ribosomal RNA", at positions 73 to 422 of the family's 1533-position model. The record is from RNAcentral.